AUAGCAAUAGCUAAUUGUAUUAGCAAAUAGUUUUUACAAUAUCGAUUUAAUCGACUAAAAUUCUAGGUAGAUUUAUGAUGAUGACAUUAUCUAUCUAUGUGUCUUGACCAAAUUUCGUGCCAGCAGUCGCGGUAAGACGUAAGAGACUAGUGUUAUUCAUCUUUAAUAGGUUUAAAGCGUACCUAGACGGUAAUUAAAGCCUAUAUCAGGAACUUGUUUACUAGAGUUAAAUGUAAGGGUGUAUUAAAGUACUGUUGAGUGUAGAGAUGAAAUUCGUUGAUACCAAAUAAUUGGCACAGGUAUAGGCGAAAGCAUCACUUUAUGUAAUAACUGACGUUGACGGACGAAGGCUUUGUGUCGCGAACAGGAUUAGAUACCCCAGUAGUCUUAGCAGAAAACUAUGAGUGUCAUAGGUUAGAUUUUAUUUGGUCUAUAAAUGAAAGUGUAAGCACUCCACCUCAAGAGUAAUUUGGCAACAUUGGAACUGAAAUCAUUAGACCGUUUCUGAAACCAGUAGUGAAGUAUGUUGUUUAAUUUGAUAAUCCGCAAAGAACCUUACCACAAUUUGAAUAUAAAUGAUUUAUUUUUACAAGCGUUGCACGGCUGUCUUCAGUUAAUGUCGUGAGAUAUUGGUUUAUUCCAUUAAAUUAACGUAAACCCGUACUUUAUUUUUAUAUAAAGUUGUUCAUUCGCUAUAAUGGAUGUGAUAACAGGGACUAAGACAAGUCAUCAUGGCCUAAAUAUUGUGGG
This 750-nucleotide ribosomal RNA is filed under the name Fuscopannaria confusa. RNAcentral's name for it is "SSU rRNA". It matches the Rfam family "Bacterial small subunit ribosomal RNA", at positions 388 to 1213 of the family's 1533-position model. Lineage: Eukaryota; Fungi; Ascomycota; Lecanoromycetes; Peltigerales; Pannariaceae. The record is from RNAcentral.